AGAAUUUGCACAUUGAAAAUGAGAAUUUUUCUUUAUUUUUUUUUUCAUUACAGAUCUUGUGGUUCAACCUGUCUGCAAAAAUUAUGUUCUCAAGCAACAGGGAGAGAAAACGAAAUGCACAUGUCACUUUGCCAGAUGACAUGUGCCUUAGAAUAUUGACAUCACAAUGGUUCUUCAGCCUGACAACUACAGAAUCCUCAGACUUCAGUAGUUUUCUAGCCACUGUAGUCACCAGUUUGGUGUCUAGAGGCAGGAAGGCAAACGAAAAUUUCACAUUGUUUGAUAAGUUCUUCAUCCCAGGCUCUACUAAAAAGCCAAUGAAAUGCAACAGUAUUAAUACUGUAUUAACUCUGAACUUCCAGUAG
This 365-nucleotide long non-coding RNA is filed under the name Rattus norvegicus (Norway rat). Its description in RNAcentral is "long non-coding RNA NONRATT032380". Lineage: Eukaryota; Metazoa; Chordata; Mammalia; Rodentia; Muridae. The record is from RNAcentral.